GCACAAGCGGUGGAUGAUGUGGUUUAAUUCGAUGCAACGCGAAAAACCUUACCCACCUUUGACAUGUACGGAAUCCUUUAGAGAUAGAGGAGUGCUCGAAAGAGAACCGUAACACAGGUGCUGCAUGGCUGUCGUCAGCUCGUAUCGUGAGAUGUUGGGUUAAGUCCCGCAACGAGCGCAACCCUUGUCAUUAGUUGCUACAUUUAGUUGGGCACUCUAAUGAGACUGCCGGUGACAAACCGGAGGAAGGUGGGGAUGACGUCAAGUCCUCAUGGCCCUUAUAGGUGGGGCUACACACGUCAUACAAUGGCUGGUACAGAGGGUUGCCAACCCGCGAGGGGGAGCUAAUCCCAUAAAAUCAGUCGUAGUCCGGAUCGCAGUCUGCAACUCGACUGCGUGAAGUCGGAAUCGCUAGUAAUCGUGGAUCAGAAUGUCACGGUGGAUACGUUCCCGGGCCUUGUACACACCG
RNAcentral lists this ribosomal RNA (469 nucleotides) under uncultured beta proteobacterium. RNAcentral describes it as "bacterial SSU rRNA". It matches the Rfam family "Bacterial small subunit ribosomal RNA", at positions 923 to 1392 of the family's 1533-position model. Lineage: Bacteria; Pseudomonadati; Pseudomonadota; Betaproteobacteria. The record is from RNAcentral.